AACAAAACUACUUAGUUAGGUUUAGGAAUAGACUGACUUGGUUAGGCUUAGGCAACAAAACUACUUUAGGUUUAGGAAAAGAUCGCAAUUUGGGUUAAACUAACAACAGAAGUGGCGUACCUUAAGUACGGAAAUUACGUGAGAAAUUAAUCAACUUUGACUUGUGGUUCCAACAGGACACGAACAGCGGUUUCCUGGGCACCUGACCCACCCAUCCAC
This is a long non-coding RNA of Sebastes umbrosus (honeycomb rockfish), 219 nucleotides long. RefSeq lists it as uncharacterized. The record is from RefSeq and is a predicted model, not a curated record. The transcript has 3 exons. NCBI's taxonomy places the organism in Eukaryota, Metazoa, Chordata, Actinopteri, Perciformes, Sebastidae.